RNAcentral lists this ribosomal RNA (467 nucleotides) under uncultured bacterium. Its description in RNAcentral is "partial 16S ribosomal RNA". It matches the Rfam family "Bacterial small subunit ribosomal RNA", at positions 28 to 507 of the family's 1533-position model. The record is from RNAcentral.
GAUGAACGCUGGCGGCGCGCCUAACACAUGCAAGUCGAACGAUUAAAGCACCUUCGGGUGUGUAUAAAGUGGCGAACGGCUGAGUAACACGUGGGCAACCUGCCCCUUUCAUUGGGAUAGCCACGGGAAACCGUGGAUAAUACCGAAUACUUCGAGACUUCCGCAUGGAAGACUCGAGAAAGCUCCGGCGGAGAGGGAUGGGCCCGCGGCCUGUUAGCUUGUUGGUGGGGUAACGGCCUACCAAGGCAAUGAUGGGUAGCUGGGUUGGGAGACCGACCAGCCAGAUUGGGACUGAGAAAAGGCCCAGACUCCUACGGGAGGCAGCAGUGGGGAAUCUUGCACAAUGGGCGAAAGCCUGAUGCAGCGACGCCGCGUGCGGGAUGAAGGCCUUCGGGUUGUAAACCGCUUUCAGCAGGGACGAGGCGAAAGUGACGGUACCUGCAGAAGAAGCCCCGGCUAACUACGUG